Long non-coding RNA from Lolium rigidum, 268 nucleotides. RefSeq lists it as uncharacterized. The record is from RefSeq and is a predicted model, not a curated record. The transcript is spliced from 3 exons. Lineage: Eukaryota; Viridiplantae; Streptophyta; Magnoliopsida; Poales; Poaceae.
UCUCGGAGGAAUUUUGUCGUGUGUGCAGCAAUUCCCGUGAUUAUCUUCAGAGUGGAGAGACAGAAAAAGUUUGGAAAGCCGAAUGAAAUUGCACAUCAUUGUUGGCUGCAGUACGUGUUGCUAGUGACAGGGCUUCUCACCGGCAUAUGGGUGCAAUCACAGAUCUAGUUGACCUCAAAGAUACUGAAAAAUUAUCACCCUUUGCAUAGAGUAAGCAUCCAAAAGGUCCGAGUUAAAAUGGUUUAUUCAGUAAUGUAUGCAAGGCACU